UGGGGAGCAAACAGGAUUAGAUACCCUGGUAGUCCACGCCGUAAACGAUGUCUACUUGGAGGUUGUGCCCUUGAGGCGUGGCUUCCGGAGCUAACGCGUUAAGUAGACCGCCUGGGGAGUACGGCCGCAAGGUUAAAACUCAAAUGAAUUGACGGGGGCCCGCACAAGCGGUGGAGCAUGUGGUUUAAUUCGAUGCAACGCGAAGAACCUUACCUGGUCUUGACAUCCACAGAAUUCUGCAGAGAUGCGGAAGUGCCUUCGGGAACUGUGAGACAGGUGCUGCAUGGCUGUCGUCAGCUCGUGUUGUGAAAUGUUGGGUUAAGUCCCGCAACGAGCGCAACCCUUAUCCUUUGUUGCCAGCGGUYMGGCCGGGAACUCAAAGGAGACUGCCAGUGAUAAACUGGAGGAAGGUGGGGAUGACGUCAAGUCAUCAUGGCCCUUACGACCAGGGCUACACACGUGCUACAAUGGCGCAUACAAAGAGAAGCGACCUCGCGAGAGCAAGCGGACCUCAUAAAGUGCGUCGUAGUCCGGAUUGGAGUCUGCAACUCGACUCCAUGAAGUCGGAAUCGCUAGUAAUCGUGGAUCAGAAUGCCACGGUGAAUACGUUCCCGG
This 615-nucleotide ribosomal RNA is filed under the name Salmonella enterica. RNAcentral describes it as "bacterial SSU rRNA". Lineage: Bacteria; Pseudomonadati; Pseudomonadota; Gammaproteobacteria; Enterobacterales; Enterobacteriaceae. The record is from RNAcentral.